This 634-nucleotide ribosomal RNA is filed under the name Naganishia vishniacii. RNAcentral describes it as "LSU rRNA". It matches the Rfam family "Eukaryotic large subunit ribosomal RNA", at positions 28 to 652 of the family's 3401-position model. The record is from RNAcentral. Lineage: Eukaryota; Fungi; Basidiomycota; Tremellomycetes; Filobasidiales; Filobasidiaceae.
CUGAACUUAAGCAUAUCAAUAAGCGGAGGAAAAGAAACUAACAAGGAUUCCCCUAGUAACGGCGAGUGAAGCGGGAAGAGCUCAAAUUUGAAAUCUGGUAGCCUUCGGUUGCCCGAGUUGUAAUCUAGAGAAGUGUUUUCCGUGCCGGCCCAUGUACAAGUCCCUUGGAACAGGGCGUCAUAGAGGGUGAGAAUCCCGUCCUUGACAUGGACCCCCGGUGCUUUGUGAUACACUUUCAACGAGUCGAGUUGUUUGGGAAUGCAGCUCAAAAUGGGUGGUGAAUUCCAUCUAAAGCUAAAUAUUGGCGAGAGACCGAUAGCGAACAAGUACCGUGAGGGAAAGAUGAAAAGCACUUUGGAAAGAGAGUUAAACAGUACGUGAAAUUGUUGAAAGGGAAACGAUUGAAGUCAGUCAUGCUCUUUGGUUUAAGCCGUUCUGCGGUGUAUAUCAUUGAGUGGGGUCAACAUCAGUUUUGAUCGAUGGAUAAAGGCACUAGGAAGGUAGCACUCUCGGGUGAACUUAUAGCCUGGCGUCAUAUACAUUGAUUGGGACUGAGGAACGCAGCAUGCCUUCGGGCCGGGAUUCGUCCACGUACAUGCUUAGGAUGUUGACAUAAUGGCUUUAAACGACCCGU